Non-coding RNA from Cavia porcellus (domestic guinea pig), 245 nucleotides. Lineage: Eukaryota; Metazoa; Chordata; Mammalia; Rodentia; Caviidae. The record is from Rfam.
UAGCGCCCCAACGUGGGACUCAAGAACAGGGGACUUUGUGAGGGACGCUGUUUGUGGGCCCAAAGUAGAAAAAGGCAAAGAAAAUAGAGGACAAAUGUGGGAGCCUGCCACGUGACUGAACCUCAGUAAGUGAACAGCAAUUAUGGGACAAGAAAUUAGUCAGCAUGAGAUUUUUGUUGAAAGUUUAGAAAAGCAUUAAAGACACAAAGGGUAAAGGAAAAAAAAAAUUAGCAAUUUUGUCCACU